Molecule: long non-coding RNA, 420 nt
Organism: Hemibagrus wyckioides
Lineage: Eukaryota; Metazoa; Chordata; Actinopteri; Siluriformes; Bagridae
Exons: 4
Source: RefSeq, a predicted model, not a curated record
GUGUAUGUGAGAGAGAGAGAGAGAGACAAAGAGAGAGAGAGAGAGAGAGAGAGCGGGAGGGUCUAUGUCAGCUUCGUCGAUUUUGGGGAAUUUGUUCUGGAAUAGAUUACACAGCAGGUCCAGCGUCCCUGGUUUGAUGCUCAGGUUACUGGAAUUUCACAUAUUCUCCCUGUGACUAUCGAAGAUAUUAUACGCUGCAACUAUACAAGGUGUUCACAAAUAAGUAAUUACUCACAAGAGGACACAAAGAGAGAAUAAACACGUGUGAAGUACAAGCUGGGGAGAUGGUUGUGGAGAUAAUGAGGGCAAUCCACCACAGCUGCGUAGGCCUUCCAGGUCUUUACCACCACCUGGAACUUGAUGAAUGCUCUGUGAUGGGCCACACACUUUCUGAUAUUCUUUUUACUUCCAAGAUUUUGA